AUGGAGCCAACAAGAUAUAGCUAUUGUGGAUGCAGGGGAAGGCAGGCUUGGGAUGUUCCGUACAGCCAACAAGAUAUAGCUAUUGUGGAUGCAGGGGAAGGCAGGCUUGGGAUGUUCCGUACAGGUUAUGAAAAUGCAAGUGGUGAAUCUUAUCUCUGUUAUUCCAUUUGGCAAAACAAAGGCGAGAGUUCCGGCGACUGGCAGAUGGAGAAAAUGUCACUAGGUUCUGGGUAUCGGUAUAAUAUCGAAGGUGGAACAGAAAACUACUUGAUCAUACUAAGGAUAGAAGCUCAGAAGUACUUUUCGUUAAUAACCCCACCAAUCACUGAAUUUUGA
RNAcentral lists this ribosomal RNA (336 nucleotides) under Triticum aestivum (bread wheat). RNAcentral describes it as "partial small subunit ribosomal RNA". Lineage: Eukaryota; Viridiplantae; Streptophyta; Magnoliopsida; Poales; Poaceae. The record is from RNAcentral.